CAUGCAAGUCGAACGAGGGCUUCGGCCCUAGUGGCGAACGGGUGAGUAACGCGUGGGAACCUGCCUUGGAGUGGGGGAUAACCACUGGAAACGGUGGCUAAUACCGCAUGUGCCCUGCGGGGCAAAGGCUUCGGCCGCUUUGAGAGGGGCCCGCGUCCGAUUAGCUAGUUGGUGGGGUAACGGCCUACCAAGGCUGCGAUCGGUAGCUGGUCUGAGAGGAUGAUCAGCCACACUGGGACUGCGACACGGCCCAGACUCCUACGGGAGGCAGCAGUGGGGAAUAUUGGACAAUGGGGGAAACCCUGAUCCAGCAAUGCCGCGUGCGUGACGAAGGCCUUCGGGUUGUAAAGCGCUUUCGCCCGCGACGAUGAUGACGGUAGCGGGAGAAGAAGCCCCGGCUAACUUCGUGCCAGCAGCCGCGGUAAUACGAAGGGGGCUAGCGUUGUUCGGAUUUACUGGGCGUAAAGCGCACGUAGGCGGAUUGUUAAGUCAGGGGUGAAAUCCUGGAGCUCAACUCCAGAACUGCCUUUGAUACUGGCAAUCUAGAGUCCGGAAGAGGUGAGUGGAACUCCUAGUGUAGAGGUGGAAUUCGUAGAUAUUAGGAAGAACACCAGUGGCGAAAGGCGGCUCACUGGUCCGGUACUGACGCUGA
This 652-nucleotide ribosomal RNA is filed under the name uncultured bacterium. Its description in RNAcentral is "bacterial SSU rRNA". It matches the Rfam family "Bacterial small subunit ribosomal RNA", at positions 54 to 749 of the family's 1533-position model. The record is from RNAcentral.